This 550-nucleotide ribosomal RNA is filed under the name uncultured Glomeromycotina. RNAcentral's name for it is "SSU rRNA". It matches the Rfam family "Eukaryotic small subunit ribosomal RNA", at positions 548 to 1098 of the family's 1831-position model. Lineage: Eukaryota; Fungi; Glomeromycota. The record is from RNAcentral.
UUGGAGGGCAAGUCUGGUGCCAGCAGCCGCGGUAAUUCCAGCUCCAAUAGCGUAUAUUAAAGUUGUUGCAGUUAAAAAGCUCAUAGUUGAAUUUCGGGAUCAAUGUUUCGGUCAUGCCGUUGGGAUGUACUGAUAUUAUUGAUUUCUCACCUUCUAAAGAACCGUAAUGCCAUUAAUUUGGUGUCACGGGGAAUUAGGACUGUUACCUUGAAAAAAUUAGAGUGUUUAAAGCAGGCUCACGCUUGAAUACAUUAGCAUGGAAUAAUGAAAUAGGACAUCCGAUUCUAUUUUGUUGGUUUCUAGGAUCGAUGUAAUGAUUAAUAGGGAUAGUUGGGGGCAUUAGUAUUCAAUUAUCAGAGGUGAAAUUCUUGAAUUUAUUGAAGACUAACUACUGCGAAAGCAUUUGCCAAGGAUGUUUUCAUUAAUCAAGAACGAAAGUUAGGGGAUCGAAGACGAUCAGAUACCGUCGUAGUCUUAACCAUAAACUAUGCCGACUAGGGAUCGGAUGAUGUUAAUUUUUUAAUGACUCAUUCGGCGCCUUACGGGAAAC